GUAACAAUGGGGAACUAACUCAUUUCUAAACAUUAUUUCUUAGGGGUUGGAGUACUAAGAAGCAAAGAAGUCAAAGAACACACAGCAGAAAGUGUACCUUACAGACCACCGCCGUGCUCAGUAAGCAGAGGCCAAACUUGGAUUACACCUCAUGACAUCAAGUGCAGACGUUCUUCUUGCCCCUGCUAUAUCCCCGAGGCUUCCCCCUCAGGACAGAAAAAGGUUGCUGAAGUCCCUGACUUACCAUGUGUGUAUUCCAGUCAUUGGCAAGGAGGAAGGAAAGACGGGUGAACAUGCCUUUCCUUUCACGACACUUUGUAUGACUGUCUCGUUGCUUAGAAGUUACACAGGAGCAGUAUGAAUCGGGAUGAUUAGUAUGACCAACAGAAAGACCGAAAAUUGUGAUCUUUACUGCUCAUAACCAGAAGCACUGCACGAAUGAUGACGUCUACACUGAGGAAGAAGGGGAGAGCUGAAAUUGAGAGAUGGUCAGGAGGGUCAGCCUGAACUUACAACACUAGGUAGCACUCUGGUUGCCUACAUAAUCGUUUUGAAAGGAUAGUGUUUUUCUCUCCUCUGUUGAUACUCAAUACAAAUGAGACCUACAGUUUGUAGUUAGAGAAGCCUAGACCAACAGGAGCAAGUUGUUAGCUUGGUAGCCUGAUGCCCUGGGUUUAUUCUCAGGGUCUUGUCAAUUCCCUACUUCCUCAAGAUGGAGCUACAAUUUUGGUGAAUAAAGCCAGAGUCGGUUACAUUAGUUUCGCAAAGUAACUUCCAGGUGGAGAGGAGAGUGAGGGACCCUUCCUCAGAGCAACUCCCUGACAGUGUAUCCAUACAUGACUGUAUUUUAAGGGUUUCAAAAAAGUGACAAUUCUUCUAAUAA
Long non-coding RNA from Mesocricetus auratus (golden hamster), 883 nucleotides. RefSeq lists it as uncharacterized. Lineage: Eukaryota; Metazoa; Chordata; Mammalia; Rodentia; Cricetidae. The transcript has 2 exons. The record is from RefSeq and is a predicted model, not a curated record.